RNAcentral lists this ribosomal RNA (253 nucleotides) under uncultured bacterium. RNAcentral describes it as "partial 16S ribosomal RNA". It matches the Rfam family "Bacterial small subunit ribosomal RNA", at positions 524 to 776 of the family's 1533-position model. The record is from RNAcentral.
UACGUAGGGGGCAAGCGUUGUCCGGAAUCAUUGGGCGUAAAGAGCGUGUAGGCGGCUCGGUAAGUCCGCUGUGAAAGUCCAGGGCUCAACCCUGGAAUGCCGGUGGAAACUGUCGAGCUCGAGUCCGGAAGAGGCGAGUGGAAUUCCUGGUGUAGCGGUGAAAUGCGCAGAUAUCUGGAGGAACAUCGGUGGCGAAGGCGGCAUCCUGGACCGGUAUUGACGCUGAGGCGCGAAAGCCAGGGGAGCAAACGGG